CGCGGUAUUUUGACUGUGCGAAGGUAGCAUAAUCAUUUGUCUUUUAAUUGAAGACUUGUAUGAAUGGCUGAACGAGAAAAUAACUGUCUCUUUAAAAAAUCUUGAAUUUUACUUUUAAGUGAAAAGGCUUAAAUAAUUUUAAGGGACGAUAAGACCCUAUAAAUCUUUAUAUUAUUUUUCUUUAACUUUCAAAUUAUAUAUUAAAAAAAGAAAAGAAAAAAAUAUUAUAUUGGGGAGAUAAAAAUAUAAUUUUUAACUGUUUUAAAGAUAAAACAAUAAUUUUUGAUUUAUUAAAUAAUGAUCCUUUUUAAAGAUUUUAAGAUUAAGUUACUUUAGGGAUAACAGCGUAAUUUUUUUUGAGAGUUCUUAUCGAAAAAAAAGUUUGCGACCUCGAUGUUGAAUUAAAAUAUCCUUAUAAGUGCAGAAGCUAUAAAGGAAAGUCUGUUCGACUUUUAAAAUUUUACAU
This 466-nucleotide ribosomal RNA is filed under the name Aegla jarai. RNAcentral's name for it is "partial 16S large subunit ribosomal RNA". It matches the Rfam family "Bacterial large subunit ribosomal RNA", at positions 1932 to 2601 of the family's 2925-position model. The record is from RNAcentral. Lineage: Eukaryota; Metazoa; Arthropoda; Malacostraca; Decapoda; Aeglidae.